CCGACGGUGAGGGACGAAAGCUGGGGAGCAAACCGGAUUAGAUACCCGGGUAGUCCCAGCCGUAAACGAUGUGCGUUAGGUGUAUCGGUGACCACGAGUCACCGAGGUGCCGAAGAGAAAUCGUGAAACGUACCGCCUGGGAAGUACGGUCGCAAGGCUGAAACUUAAAGGAAUUGGCGGGGAGCACCACAACAGGUGGAGCCUGCGGUUUAAUCGGACUCAACGCCGGAAAACUCACCAGAUAAGACAGCUGAAUGAUAGUCGGGCUGAAGACUCUACUUGACUAGCUGAGAGGAGGUGCAUGGCCGUCGUCAGUUCGUACUGUGAAGCAUCCUGUUAAGUCAGGCAACGAGCGAGACCCACGCCAACAGUUGCUAG
Molecule: ribosomal RNA, 378 nt
Filed under: uncultured archaeon
Lineage: Archaea
Description: bacterial SSU rRNA
Rfam family: Archaeal small subunit ribosomal RNA
Source: RNAcentral